This 483-nucleotide ribosomal RNA is filed under the name uncultured bacterium. RNAcentral's name for it is "partial 16S ribosomal RNA". It matches the Rfam family "Bacterial small subunit ribosomal RNA", at positions 29 to 523 of the family's 1533-position model. The record is from RNAcentral.
AAUGAACGUUGGCGGCGUGGAUUAGGCAUGCGAGUCGAGCGAGAACCGUAGCAAUACGGGGACAGCGGCGAAAGGGACAGUAACGGGUAGAUUAUCUGCCCACAGGUUUGGGAUAGCUGCGGGAAACUGCAAGUAAUACCAAAUAAUAUCUCCGGAUCAAAGGUGUGAGUCCGCCUGAGGAUGACUCUGCCUCCUAUUAGCUUGUUGGGGGGGUAACGGCCUACCAAGGCAUUGAUGGGUAGCGGGUGUGAGAGCACCACCCGCGUCAUUGGGACUGAGACACUGCCCAGACACCUACGGGUGGCUGCAGUCGAGAAUCGUCGGCAAUGGACGCAAGUCUGACGGAGCGACGCCGCGUGUGGGAUGAAGGCCUUCGGGUUGUAAACCACUGUCAGAGGAGAUGAAAUGCAGGUGGGUACUCCCAUUUGUUUGACAUAGCCUCAGAGGAAGUACGGGCUAAGUUCGUGCCAGCAGCCGCGGUAA